This 478-nucleotide ribosomal RNA is filed under the name uncultured bacterium. RNAcentral's name for it is "partial 16S ribosomal RNA". It matches the Rfam family "Bacterial small subunit ribosomal RNA", at positions 28 to 523 of the family's 1533-position model. The record is from RNAcentral.
GACGAACGCUGGCGGCGUGCUUAACACAUGCAAGUCGAGCGGUAAGGCCCUUCGGGGUACACGAGCGGCGAACGGGUGAGUAACACGUGAGCAAUCUGCCCUUCACUCUGGGAUAACCCCCGGAAACGGGAGCUAAUACCGGAUACGACCACUUCGGACAUCCGAUGGUGGUGGAAAGUUCCGGCGGUGAAGGAUGAGCUCGCGGCCUAUCAGCUUGUUGGUGGGGUAACGGCCCACCAAGGCUUCGACGGGUAGCCGGCCUGAGAGGGUGACCGGCCACACUGGGACUGAGAUACGGUCCAUACACCUACGGGUGACCGCAGUCGAGAAUCUUCCGCAAUGGGCGAAAGCCUGACGGAGCGACGCCGCGUGAAGGAUGAAGUGCUUCGGCAUGUAAACUUCUUUUAUUAGGGAAAAAGUUUAUUGAUUGUACCUAACGAAUAAGGGGUUGCUAAACACGUGCCAGCCGCCGCCGUAA